This 296-nucleotide ribosomal RNA is filed under the name uncultured Sphingomonadaceae bacterium. RNAcentral describes it as "partial 16S ribosomal RNA". It matches the Rfam family "Bacterial small subunit ribosomal RNA", at positions 20 to 344 of the family's 1533-position model. The record is from RNAcentral. Lineage: Bacteria; Pseudomonadati; Pseudomonadota; Alphaproteobacteria; Sphingomonadales; Sphingomonadaceae.
UGGCUCAGAACGAACGCUGGCGGCAUGCCUAACACAUGCAAGUCGAACGAAGGCUUCGGCCUUAGUGGCGCACGGGUGCGUAACGCGUGGGAAUCUGCCCUCUGGUACGGAAUAACUCAGGGAAACUUGAGCUAAUACCGUAUAAUGACUUCGGUCCAAAGAUUUAUCGCCUGAGGAUGAGCCCGCGUCGGAUUAGCUAGUUGGUGAGGUAAAGGCUCGCCAAGGCGACGAUCCGUAGCUGGUCUGAGAGGAUGAUCAGCCACACUGGGACUGAGACACGGCCCAGACUCCUACGG